This is a long non-coding RNA of Gossypium arboreum, 1509 nucleotides long. RefSeq lists it as uncharacterized. The transcript is spliced from 8 exons. The record is from RefSeq and is a predicted model, not a curated record. Lineage: Eukaryota; Viridiplantae; Streptophyta; Magnoliopsida; Malvales; Malvaceae.
ACCCUUUCAUUUUGGUUAAAAAAAUAAAUAAAUAAAGUCUUGUCUUUCUUCUCUUGUCUUCUUCACUGCCUAACUCCCCCGGUUUCUCCUUCGCCACCUGUUUCCCACACUCCUAUGCCGAUAAAACUCCGGCGUGACUAAGAAUUUGAACUGCCCCAAAAAUCUUCAUUUGUUCUCCUCUCUUCACAGCCAAACCUCCCCUGUUUCGAAUUCGCCUUCCGUCACCGCCUAUUAUCCCGCACUCCAACGACGUUCGACUCUCCGAUGCGACCAGAAAUUUUAACAGUCCUUCGCAUUUUAUUCUCUUAGUUUCUUCGCCGCCAAACCUCCUCCCGCUUCGGGUUCACCUUCUGUCGCCACCUAUUAUCCCGCUCCGGCCCUGUUCGACACUCCGUUCUGGUGCAAAGCUCCAACAUAUCUUAAGUUGUAAUGGCAAGUGGAACGUCGAAGAAAGUGCAGAAACCAGUAUCAUCAUAUUUACAUUAUGCGGAAGUUACAUUAUUUGUUAUCAUUGUGAAAUAGUGCAAGUGCCCAAGAAGGAAAUGUCAAGAGAAAAGUAAGGAGAAACAGAAAUUGCACGUACAUUUGGCCAGAGUGGUCAAAACUUUUGGAUUCAGAGAAGAAGCCUUUCAAACAAAAGACGACCACGGAGAAAGUAGAAUACAAAAAAAAGAGUUAGAAUGUGAAGAACAAGGUGGAAAGAAUAAGCUCCAACCUCUCCAACGAACUGUUGCCUACCAACUCCAUUAUCAGCUCCUUUCUCACUACAUGCUCUACUAAUUACUUCAAUGCCGCUACCUAUUACGCCAUGCACUCCUUUUUUUUUCUUUUCAGGACACUCUCAAUUCUCAAAUGGCGAAUUGUGUUAUCUCGCCAAUCCAACCACAAGCUCCACCAAUUACUUCGACACCACCUCCUAUUUUGCCACACUCUUUUUUUCGUACAUGAUACAGGCAAGAUGCGCGACCCUUUCUUGCCUCCAUCCAAUUGGGUUAUCGUGACAAUCUGACCACAAACUCCACAAGAAACUCAGAAAAGAAGUAAUCAAAUCUCCAACUGUUCAGCUUUGUAGAUGGCAUCUAUGAAAAGAAAACAUCUCUGCUAUGAUGAUAAGAGGUUUUUCUCGGCCACAGUGGAAGAAAGGCUUCAGAACCUAUUACAACUUGGUGCCCUUCUUGAGGUGGGUAUGUCUUUAGAUCUAGUCAAUGUAGAUUUGGGUAAUUUACCGAAUUAUACAAAUAUGAUUGGUAAUAGGGGAUGGAAAACAUGCUGAUUCCUGUAUUCCCCCAUGUGUGUGAGUUCUACUGCAACUGACAAUAAAUGUUUUGUGAGAGAGAAGAAAGUGCCAUUCAAUCCUGAAUCUGUUAGGAAAUGCUAUGAGAAUUGCGAGCACACUGAGUUCAUCAAUUUAUGAUGUACUCCGUCAAGGUUGUGGCAUGGGAGGUUAAAACAUGUUUGCAAUUUGUUAAUCAUUGACAUUUCUAGUUUUCCUGCCAGUCUUUAGCAAAA